Molecule: ribosomal RNA, 744 nt
Filed under: Atrochromadora aff. microlaima MJR-2013
Lineage: Eukaryota; Metazoa; Nematoda; Chromadorea; Chromadorida; Chromadoridae
Description: eukaryotic LSU rRNA
Rfam family: Eukaryotic large subunit ribosomal RNA
Source: RNAcentral
CAAAGAACUUUGAAGAGAGAGUUAACAGGGCGUGAAACCGCUAAUAAGCAAACGGAUAGAGCAGACGUUAGUCGUCGAGAUUCAGCUCAUCAGUGUCCGGACCCGUUGUCUGCAGCGUGAAAAGCCUGUGGGCGGCGGUGAUUCGAGCUCUGUGGGUGCACUUCUCGGCGAUCGCAUCAGGGGCGGUGGGGGUGUCGCGUUGGUCUGGAGUGGGUGGCCUGCUGUUUCGGCAGUGGGUGUCUUGCUUCGGUGUCCAGUGCGGUCGCCUCUACCGUUAUGGAAUAGGUGCCCGCCUCUAGUUCGCUAGUUGUGGCAUCUGUGCUGCCUCGUUGGGAUACCAGUCUCUGGCCCCGGCUUGUGCGGUGUAGGUGUUUGCGGCGAUGCGAGCGGUGCCUGGCCCUGGUGUUUUGUCAGUUACCUAUCCGACCCGUCUUGAAACACGGACCAAGGAGUCUAACAUGGGCGCGAGUCAUUGGGCGAAUAAACCUAAAGGCGAAGUGAAAGCAAAGGCUACCUCUGGUGGCUGAUAUGGGAUCCGUACCUCGGUGCGGCGCACCAUAGUCCCGUCCCGUGGGCAUUGUCCCUGGGGCGGAGAUAGAGCGUGCAUGUUGGGACCCGAAAGAUGGCGAACUUAACGUGAUCAGGGUGAAGCCAGAGGAAACUCUGGUGGAGGCCCAUACAGGUUCUGACGUGCAAAUCGAUCUGAAGAAUUGCGUUAAGGGGCGAAAGACUAAUCGAGCUGUC